GACAGAGGGUGCAAACGUUGCUCGGAUUUACUGGGCGUAAAGCGCAUGUAGGCGGAGAGAUGUGUCGGGUGUGAAAUCCCUGGGCUCAACCUAGGAACUGCAUCCGAAACUGUCUUUCUAGAGUAGUGGAGAGGAAAGCGGAAUUCCGGGUGUAGAGGUGAAAUUCGUAGAUAUCCGGAGGAACACCAGUGGCGAAGGCGGCUUUCUGGACACUAACUGACGCUGAGAUGCGAAAGCGUGGGGAGCAAACAGG
This 253-nucleotide ribosomal RNA is filed under the name uncultured bacterium. RNAcentral's name for it is "partial 16S ribosomal RNA". It matches the Rfam family "Bacterial small subunit ribosomal RNA", at positions 524 to 776 of the family's 1533-position model. The record is from RNAcentral.